Non-coding RNA from Chryseobacterium takakiae, 45 nucleotides. The record is from Rfam. Lineage: Bacteria; Pseudomonadati; Bacteroidota; Flavobacteriia; Flavobacteriales; Weeksellaceae.
AAAGCGGCUCUUUUCAGAGCCGCUUAUAUUAUUUACCAACGUUUU